This 466-nucleotide ribosomal RNA is filed under the name uncultured bacterium. RNAcentral's name for it is "partial 16S ribosomal RNA". It matches the Rfam family "Bacterial small subunit ribosomal RNA", at positions 28 to 507 of the family's 1533-position model. The record is from RNAcentral.
GAUGAACGCUGGCGGCGUGCUUAACACAUGCGAGUCGAACGAUGAAGCCCAGAUUGCUGGGUGGAUUAGUGGCGAACGGGUGAGUAACACGUGAGUAACCUGCCCUUAACUCUGGGAUAAGCCUGGGAAACUGGGUCUAAUACCGGAUAGGAGCGUCCACCGCAUGGUGGGUGUUGGAAAGAUUUAUCGGUUUUGGAUGGACUCGCGGCCUAUCAGCUUGUUGGUGAGGUAAUGGCUCACCAAGGCGACGACGGGUAGCCGGCCUGAGAGGGUGACCGGACACACUGGGACUGACAUAAGGCCCAGACUCCUACGGGAGGCAGCAGUGGGGAAUAGUGAACCAUGGGCGAAAGCCUGAUGCAGCGACGCAGCGUGAGGGAUGACGGCCUUCGGGUUGUAGACCUCUUUCAGUAGGGAAGAAGCGAAAGUGACGGUACCUGCAGCAGAAGCACCGGCUAACUACGUG